GGACUACACGGGUUUCUAAUCCUGUUUGCUCCCCACGCUUUCGCACCUCAGCGUCAAUACACGUCCAGUGGGCCGCCUUCGCCACUGGUGUUCUUCCGAAUAUCUACGAAUUUCACCUCUACACUCGGAAUUCCACCCACCUCUCCGUGAUUCUAGCCUUCCAGUUUCAAGGGCUAUUCCGGGGUUGAGCCCCGGGCUUUCACCCCUGACUUGAAAAGCCGCCUACGUGCGCUUUACGCCCAGUAAUUCCGAACAACGCUAGCUCCCUCCGUAUUACCGCGGCUGCUGGCAC
Molecule: ribosomal RNA, 292 nt
Filed under: uncultured bacterium
Lineage: Bacteria
Description: partial 16S ribosomal RNA
Source: RNAcentral